ACUCAUUAUGUCUUCAUUCUAUCACCCACUCACCGGUUAAGUAGCACUAGUCAAACUUGCUCUCCCAUCAAACAGUGUAUGAUUGCUGAAUUGUCUCUAUGUCAAGACCCUUCAACUUCACCACUGAUUCCACGUGACCUUUAAGUGUGUGCAGCUCACGUUGCCUGCAAUGAAAAAUGUAGCGUUCAAUUUCCAAGAAGUCACGAAAACUCAACAUGUGUUUAGCAGAAGAAAACUUAAGAGUAAAGAUAAAGUGAAGCAAGCAAUGGAUAUGUGAUGUUGCAGCAUGGCCAUAUGAAUGAAGGGAGAAGCGUGAAAUGCCCACAAAUGCAAGUUCAACUUCACAUUCAACUAGAAACAUAAGCGGAAUCCACUAUGCUUAUGUUGUCAAAAAAAAAAAAAAAAUUCAAAAUGACAAUCUUUACCUAGCGAUUUCAGCUCUCCUCUUUGCUUCCUCAGCUAACUGAUUAAGCUCAUUGAAAUUGGUAGAUUCACUAAACAAUUUGGUGUCAGGAACUUGCAGCCCAUGAAGGGUCCUCUGUGCGUGGGCCCAUUGAAGCUCACGUUGUUCUUUUCCGAAAUCCUUCUUCCUGGUGAAAGCAAUCUGUAAUACAAUGAAAAAACGUCACAUACCGUUGGAUGAAAAUAGCAUGAGAAUGAAUAUAUAUCAUAUAUGUAUAUCUAUACUGCAUAACAUACCCUUUGCUCAAGAACAAGAUCCCAGGCCCUUCCACUGAGAGCAUAUCUGAUUAAGAACUUGAUGAUAUCAAGCGGGAAGUAGAAUACUAAAUUGUAGAGCCAGAUCACUCCUGCCCAACCCCAGCCAAUUCCUUCGAUUGCAGCAAAGCUCCAACUUGCAUAAACAGCAAUCAAGGUGGCAACCUGUUUAAAAAUUAGCAACCAAACAUUAUAGAUUGAUGAAGCUGCGGAAAGUUUACCAGAAUGAAUGAGAAAAUGGCUUACCAGUUGAGCAAUCAGAAAAGCAACCACAAGCAACAAACCAGGACGCUCAACAAACGACCAACUUCGAGAUCUUGUGACAAAUAUCAGGGCCUGACUGAUAGUGCUCACUUGAAGGUAAAUUGCUGAUGCAAGUUUCCUGAAGUCAUCAGUUGCUGUCCUCUGAAGUGUUGAUACCCCAAAUACACGCUGGAAAAUCACCAAACUGAGUGAGAUUACAAACUAAGAACAGUUCAUAAUUAGCACAAGUUCAACAUCUAAACAAUCCAAACAUCAAAGUCAACAAUCAUUUAGUUUAAUAUACAGUUAGUCAUCAUAACAACACUAUUAUCAAAGUUCUGCUGUGAAAAUCCUCCAUCAUUUUUCAUAGAUAAAAGAUGACCAGUCUGCGGCCAAACAUUCUUUCAUUAGUUCUUAUUAUAUAAUACAUAACAGCUACAUCUCAAACUCCCUGUAUCUUUUUGUCCUAUGCUCACCGGGAAGAAAUCUGUCUCAUAUGCUGCCCAAAAGAAAAUGACUGUCAUCAUUGCCAAGUAGCCACCAAGAACAACCCCAGUAGUGAAAAUCUCAGCCAGCUUCCAACUAUCAGGCAGAGGAGAUGGUUUGACCCUAUCCUUUGAUAUUGUCAUAAUGGUACCUGAGAUUAUAACAUUAGAAGUGAGACGUAGAAAAGACACUGGAACAGCAAGAGAACUGUCUAAACACUGCAGUGGCAGAUCAUACUAAACUUUAUAGCAGAGCUUUUGAUGAAAUGAAAAAUGAUUUUGUACAUUUGAGGAGUAGCCUCUUAUUCCUAUUUCUCUUUGGUGCAUUCAUGGGGUUCCGAUUUGAAUUGAAGAUUUGAUGUCUUUUGUAGAAAAUCAUUUUUUUCUUUUGUAGGUUCUCUACUUUUCUUAUACCACAUGAAUGCAGGUGUUAUUCCCAACAAUAAUAAAUUACUAUCACAUAGUCACAGAAAAAGGUUAUUAAACCUUAAGGUCCUACACAUGGAACUUGAAAGGCAUGAUAACAGCUCCUGAUAACAUUUUUUAUCAAUCUACCUUAUGUUUUGAUAUAGCAAUAAUGACAAACAUACUGCAUCCUCUAAUUUUGCCACUAUUUUAUCAAUCAACAGAAAUAUCUUUUUCAGAUUUUGGUACACCCAUUAAGAAAACUACUCCCUCUGUUCACUUUACUUGUCCAUUUUGCACUUUGCAUGACCUUAAGAUAAUUAAUAAGAUUAUAUUACCACAGUACAAAUAUUACUUGAUGUAUAGUCUUAGGUAAAUUGGGGAAAUAAAUAAUUAAUGUUGAAGGUAAAAUAAGAGAAGAAUAAAUGUGUCUCUUAAUAUGUUAAAAGUGAUAAGUAAAAGUGAAAAACUACUUAUGGAAGAGUGGAUAAAUAAAAGUAAACAGAGGAAGUAGUUAAUAUCAUUAAUUAUAAGAGUUAUUGACUAAAUUACCCUUUCUCUUACCUAGUAAAUGUAAAUAAGCAUAGAAAGACGUUUAGAAAGAUGUAGGGAUCAUUUAUUACAGCAAGAGUAAAUUUUUUUUUUUUUUUUUUUUUUGAAAAGGUAACUUACAGCAAGAGUAAAUUUGAAAAAUAAUUAAUCUCUUGCUUUCUUAAAUGACACUUAUUUUGGACCAAAUUUGUAAGGCAAGAGAAGUAUUUUGAACCGGAUGGGGGUAAUAAUUAAUUGUUUAAGUGUUUCACAUGUUAGUACGUCUAGUUUAGGUCCUAUACUCUCUAUGAUCUUUUAUUCAUGUCAGAGAUUUAUAAGCCAUUAGAAAAUAUAGAGAACUUCUAGCCCUUUUUUAUUUUAAUUUUGUAUAAUAAUACAAGCAUGUUUCAUUUCAAUACUCUCAAAUUUUAUCUUAAAAGACAAUUAGGGGUCUUUUAAAAUGACGGAAUGUUUAAACUAAACAUUGUCUAUGUUACUAUUAGUGAAAAGGACCAACCAUCAUUGAGGAUUGCAAUGAUAAGCACCAUGAAAGGUGGAAAGUCAAACUUCCAGAUAAGGGCCAGAAGCAUAAAACCAAGCUGUAACAUAAAUAGAAGAAGAAUGUCAAAAUAUCAUUUAAGAAUCAUAAAAAUUAAAGAGAAAAGAAGCAGCAGCCGAAAAACAUACCACAAUACGGAUUGUGAUGGAAACAGCAUAUAUCUGCCGAUGCAAAAAAAAAAAAGACAGAUAAAUUAUCGAUAUCGUACAUCAGAGACAGAUUGUAAGUGCAUUAAGCUCAUUCAGGAAUGCACUACCCUCAAAAUAGCAGAUGCUAAGAUAUACCAAAAAAUUAGGAUGUAUAAGGAUCUAAAUAUACGCCUCUAGUAGAACCAACAAGACAAAUAUAUACCGUGUAGUUUUUCAUCCUUUGAAAGAUUGCUCGACUAGUCAGAACAGCACUAAUGAUGACACUGAGACCAGGUUCGGUAAGAACAAUGUCAGAAGCACUACGAGCAGCAUCAGUGGCAUCAUCAACAGCUAUCCCAAUAUCAGCCUUCUUUAAAGCAGGAGCGUCAUUGACUCCAUCUCCAGUCAUUCCACAGAUAUGCUUCCUAGCUUGCAAUCGUUUUACUAUCUCAUAUUUGUGCUCUAUGGCAAUGAGCAAGACAAGGUAUCAGUAAAGACGAACAUUCCAAUAAACAAGUACCCUAUUGAAUACCCAAAACUAGAGAAGUAAAAGAAUUUUCUGAGAGAGAUAUAUACCAGGGAAUACUCCAGCAAAACCAUCAGCCUUUUCUAUCAGUUCAUCAAUUGGUAAAGAAGCAAUUGAUUCAUCCUUAGUCUGCCCCAACAGAGCAGACGAAGGAUACAUGUUGGUUCCCAUUCCCAGACGACGCCCUGUUUCUUUUCCUAUAGCCAGUUGAUCCCCUGCCAAAAGAACAGGCACAUAAACAUGUCAAAACUUCGAUGUAGCAAAAAACGCACGACCAGUAAGAUGACACACGUCCAAAUUACGUCUGAGCUUUUUACAGCAAAAAGAAAUAUCUUGGUAAAACACAAGUUGGCAGACACAAAGUAAUAGUCUUUAAAAUUCAAUUGUGAAAACUUGAAAUCCUUAUCAACACAAUGAAUGAAAUGCCAAGCGACGGGCAUAGACAUCACUCUCAAGCCAAUAAGACCGGGGAGGUGCCUCUAAAAUGAACCAUAAUCCAGUCCAACUAUCAUAUUGUCCUCACCAAAAAUAAUAAAACAAAAAGGAACAGCCCCAUUAAGAAUUUGGAACGAAUCAAAAGUAGUCUUUGAUGCAACAGCCAGCAAGCUCAGAGUACAAAGAAUUAGUAGCAGACUGCAUUACCAUCUCAAGUUGGUGAUAAUUUUGGAAACCUCUAUUCAGUGGAUACAUUUUUCCUUCCUCUCUUCCUUUUAUCAAGGGGUUGGGUAGCCAUUACUACCAAGUUGCCAAUAUAGCAUGCAGUCUAUUUGCCAACAAUAUUUCAAUACAUUGAUCAUAAAAAAUAAAAAAUUAGAAAUACCUGUGAUCAUUUUAACAUUCACUCCAAGAUUCAAAGCCCUCCUUAUAGUCUCAGCACUGUCAUGUCUUGGAGGAUCAAACAAAGGCAGGAGACCAAUGAAUUGCCAUGGUCCUCCGGAACUCUCCUUCCUUCCCUCUGGAACUUCCUGCAUGGAAAGUUAGGGUGUAUGUGAUUAAGCAAAAUAAAGCCUCUAUUUUUUUGACACAAUGAUUGAACUUGGAGACAGAAAUACUUAAUCCCUCCUCUCCACUAUAAUAGUAUUAGGUUAUAUGCUUAAGCUGCAAGAUAAUUGAUUCAUUCAAUUUAUAUGUGACAUGAUGAGUUCCACAGAAAAUAAAAGGAAAGCAAAAUACCUGGUAUGCCACACCAAGUGAGCGCAAGCCCCUCUCAGCAAACUUAUCAAUCACUGCAUGAACUCUACGUUCUAUGUCUGACUUGUUGUGUGCAAGAUUUAGGAUCUAAUCCACAUUGCAGGGAUUGGUUAGAAAAUGCAAUCAUGGAAAGUAAAAGCAAGCAAAGAAGGACUACUUAGAUGAUUACAGUCAUACCUGCUCUGGUGCCCCUUUGCUGACCCUGUGCAUUUUUCCUUCACCAUCAAGAUAAGUAAGUGCUGUUCGCUUGUCAGUUGGAUUGAAAGGAAGAAAGUGUAUUUCACGAAUGCCAGCACGAGCCUGCAUUAAUGGCAGCAUUAGUACCUAAUGCAGUUCUAUAGCUAAAAUGGAUGCACUAAUCACACAGUCGUGCAAUUCUAAAGUUACCUCCUUCGGGUCAGACAACAUCCCAACAAUAGCAGUAUCAAUGGCAUCCUGGUUCUCUGUACGAGACGCUCGAGCUGCCAUCAGAACGACAGUAUCUGCAUCAACACCUUUGGCAAAAACCUGAAAAUUUAGCAGGAACGAACAAAAGACAAUCAGAGUCUGUGUGGAAUAAGGAAUAAGGAAUGAGACUGAACUCUUAUUCUCACCUCAACAAGGUUUUUGUCAACAGUAAGCUUGUUUAGUGUAAGGGUCCCUGUCUUGUCACUACAAAGCACGUCCAUACCAGCCAUCUCCUCAAUAGCUGUCAUUCUUUUCGUAAUAGCACCCUGAAUAGUUAAAAUGUUGAAAUAUGCAAUCACUUAUCAGAACUGCCGAAAUACGAUAACUCACGAUUGAAGACAUGCUGAACCACUAUAUCCUAAGAUCAUGAUGCUAACUAACAAACCUGCUGAGCGAGCCGAUGAGAACCAAUUGCCAUUGUGACUGAAAGAACCGUUGGCAUGGCAAUUGGAAUUCCACCAAUGAGAAGGACAAGAAGAUUGUCAAUCCCAGGGCGAUAUUUGCGGUGUUGGAUAGGGUACAUCACAAUGAUCUCUAUUAUCAUCCCCACUGCAAUAGAACAGAUGCAGAAGUUUCCAAUAGCAGUCAAAACCUGAUAGAGACAUCAACAACAUAGAAUGUGAGAUUCAGAAGAAUGAGAUUAUCAACUAAUAUUCAAAACAAUUAAGACAAUACAAGUUCAACUCGCCUUUUGGAAGUGUCCCACUUGGUUUGUACUGUCAACAAGGUGUGCAGCCUUCCCAAAAAAGGUAUGAACCCCAGUGGCGAUGACGACAGCUUCUAUCUCUCCCUGCUUACAGGUGGAACCAGAGUAGACACCAUCUCCAGGACCUUUU
RNAcentral lists this long non-coding RNA (6068 nucleotides) under Solanum tuberosum (potato). RNAcentral describes it as "long non-coding RNA (STUB_LNC006786)". The record is from RNAcentral. Lineage: Eukaryota; Viridiplantae; Streptophyta; Magnoliopsida; Solanales; Solanaceae.